Molecule: long non-coding RNA, 574 nt
Organism: Homo sapiens (human)
Lineage: Eukaryota; Metazoa; Chordata; Mammalia; Primates; Hominidae
Exons: 4
Source: RefSeq, a predicted model, not a curated record
CUAGGAUUACAGGCGUGAGCCGCCGCGCCCGGCCAAUGUAGUCCUUUUUCAUCAACAGUUUCUGUUCAAGGUGGACUUUGAUACAUAGCCUGUGAAGCACUUGCAGAGGAGAAGUUGGGGAAAGAGAGAGAGCCUUCCUCCAGGUGCAUAAAUGAAAGAGACAACUCACCACCUGGAGCACUGUUAACAUACAUGGGCAGAGACACUGUUUGCCAAACGGCCCAGAAGUAAGGUUAGAGCAAGUUUGAAGAGUCUUGUAGAAUUGGAGAGCAAUGAGGAAUGAAAUUCUUCCAGAUCCACAAAGCUCCAUAGGCAGAUACUCAACUUCUUCAAGCAAACAAUCCAGAAAGUUACCCAGAAAAAGAAGGGAAGAGGGAAGGAGAAAUGAGACACAUCUCUAGGUUCUGAAGCAGAGGACACCGAGCCAACAAAUUUCCAGAGAAAUGGCUACACUGGAGCAUAGUCACCCUCACAAUAUUCUCCUUUCCUGUGAGUGACAUGGAACAGGUAGGGAGCUCAGUCCUAAAAUGCAAUGAUAGGUGUCUCCAGUAUUUAUGUGAACCGCUGAUGAACA